ACCAAGUGACCUGCAAUUCUUACCCAUGUAGCUCUAUCAUAUCUGCAACCAGGAUGUUCACCAUUUGUUUACGGGUUGCAUCAGUUAGUGUUUUAGUCUUAUCAUACUCAUUGAAGACUUCUUCACCCUUUGGAUUGGCCCUCAGAACACCCUCAACCAUCUGCCAAGAAAUAUUACAUUGUUAUGGCAUGCUUACGAAUAACGGUGGAAUCAGAUGAAUGGGAUAAAGCUGGGGAUAGUGCAGUCUGUGCCACUACCAAGGAUGAAUGGGAUGAAGUUGGGGACAGCGAUGUCAAUACGGAGGAGGAUGCUUGAUCUGCAACCAGCUC
Molecule: long non-coding RNA, 329 nt
Organism: Gasterosteus aculeatus aculeatus (three-spined stickleback)
Lineage: Eukaryota; Metazoa; Chordata; Actinopteri; Perciformes; Gasterosteidae
Source: Ensembl